This 450-nucleotide ribosomal RNA is filed under the name uncultured bacterium. Its description in RNAcentral is "partial 16S ribosomal RNA". It matches the Rfam family "Bacterial small subunit ribosomal RNA", at positions 354 to 796 of the family's 1533-position model. The record is from RNAcentral.
GUGGGGAAUUUUGGACAAUGGGCGCAAGCCUGAUCCAGCAAUGCCGCGUGCAGGAAGAAGGCCUUCGGGUUGUAAACUGCUUUUGUACGGAACGAAACGGUCCUGGCUAAUAUCCGGGGCUAAUGACGGUACCGUAAGAAUAAGCACCGGCUAACUACGUGCCAGCAGCCGCGGUAAUACGUAGGGUGCGAGCGUUAAUCGGAAUUACUGGGCGUAAAGCGUGCGCAGGCGGUGCUGUAAGACAGGCGUGAAAUCCCCGGGGUCAACCUGGGAAUUGCGCUUGUGACUGCAGUGCUGGAGUGCGGCAGAGGGGGAUGGAAUUCCGCGUGUAGCAGUGAAAUGCGUAGAUAUGCGGAGGAACACCGAUGGCGAAGGCAAUCCCCUGGGCCUGCACUGACGCUCAUGCACGAAAGCGUGGGGAGCAAACAGGAUUAGAUACCCUUGUAGUCC